Molecule: unclassified non-coding RNA, 959 nt
Filed under: uncultured fungus
Lineage: Eukaryota; Fungi
Description: sequence contains 18S rRNA gene, ITS1, 5.8S rRNA gene, ITS2, 28S rRNA gene
Source: RNAcentral
GGGGAAGCGAAGCCCUCAUUUUCUAGACUGUCAACACAGGUGUAUACAGACGUUACCGGGCACAGUGCACGGUGUUGCAAGCUUCCUGCGUUUCCACUAUUCGACUAUCAGCCGAAUCCUCAUAGUCAACAAAACGCAAAUGUAAAGACCUGACCCUGUCUCCGGCAACCGCAGAGUCUCUUGGGAGUCGAAGGGUUCGCGGAGGGACUCCGACACCUGGCGACAGAAAAGCAACGGAUUUGAACUGUCGAAGGGUCAACGAUUUCGUAGGGCAGCCGAGUUUGGAGCAGCCAUUCCACAGAGAAGCUCAGGCAAGAGCAUCCAGGAUCGGCUCAUCGUCGAAGCUGUUACAGCGCACGGCUAUAGCCAAAUGGAGGUGGCAAGCUUCCUGAGGGUCCACUAUUCGACGAUCAGCCAAAUCCUCGCAGCCAAUAACGCCAAAGCGCGCGUCUAAACACUUGAUGCAAUAAUCCUGAGACCCUUUUUCAUUUUUGAGGUAUGAGUUUUUGCGGACUGUCAGUCUCCUCGAACGCCCAACUUUUACCGAUUAGUCUCCUCCCGACACGUUCCUUAAUUCUGGUGAGAAUCUCCUCUCUUCUCUCCCUCGCCCAAUCAGGCAUGACCUCCUUCCACAUGCCCGCAGACGGAAUGUAGAUGAUAUCUUCCAAUCGAUUGAAAUACAUCUGAAGACUCUUUUCUCCUUCCUUAUAGAUAAGAACACCGUCUUCGGCUCCCCCUCUUUUUUGUACGUGGAAACCUUCCUUUCUUCUUCUCAAUCUCUUUCCUGCGAUCGCGAUAACCAUUAUGAGUAAUAUAAAGCCUAAGCCAGAAAGCAGCACUUGAUUCUCCAUUUUGGACAAAUACUUGUUUGAUCUGACAACAGCCAGUAGGUACCGACACCGUAAUGAACUAUCUCACAAACUUGUUCGCCUAAUGAUCCUGUUAAUUCUUGGUUUUUU